This 497-nucleotide ribosomal RNA is filed under the name uncultured bacterium. Its description in RNAcentral is "partial 16S ribosomal RNA". It matches the Rfam family "Bacterial small subunit ribosomal RNA", at positions 28 to 507 of the family's 1533-position model. The record is from RNAcentral.
GACGAACGCUGGCGGCGUGCCUAAUACAUGCAAGUUGAGCGCUAAAGGUUGGUCCUUGUACCGGCUGGAUGAGCAGCGAACGGGUGAGUAACGCGUGGGGAAUCUCCCUUUGAGCGGGGGACAACAUUUAGACACGAAUGCUAACACGGCAUAAAAACUUUAUACACAAGUAUCAAGUGUGAAAGAUGCAAGUGCAUCACUCAAAGACGAUCCCGCGGUGUAUUAGCUAGUUGGUGAGGUAAAGGCUCACCAAGGCGAGGAUACAUAGCCGACCUGAGAGGCGGGGCGGCCAGAUUGAGACGGAGACACGGCCCAAAAGCCUGGGGGGGGCAGCAGGAGGGAACCGUGGGCAAUGGACGGAAGUCAGAACGGGCGACGCCGGGCGAGUGAAGAAGGUCUUCGGGUCGUGAAUGUCUGUUGGUGGGGAAGAACGUUGGUGAGCGUGGAAAGAAGAUCGAGUGACGGUAACUACCCAGAAAGGGACGGCUAACUACGUG